CGGCUCGGGCGCCCGGAGGGGCGGCGCGCGGUCCCCGCCGGCGCGCAGACCACCGGAGGAGGCGCCCCGGCCGCCGGCCCGGCCCGGCAGCCGCUCUCCGCGCUCGGGCCGCCGCGGCCUCCUGGGAACCCCCCCCCCCCCCCCGCCCCGAGGGCGCACGCGAGUCCACACGUGCAGGGGAGCGGCUCGAGGGAGCCCCGGCGUCCCCCGCGUGUCGCCGGGCCGGGGAGGAAGCCCAGAGCCCCGGCCCCACUCGCCUGGGAUUCCCCGGGCCCCUCGCUUCCCGCGCCGGGUAGGGUGUCGCUCGCGUCCCGUCCGAGGAGAGGGCAGCGCGCGGGCUGGAGGCGGCGGCCCGCCCCGGGCCCCGGCACGGCCCACCAGGAAGCCGGCAGCUGCGCCCCGCGCCGCUGCCCACCCCGAUUUGAAUACCCCGGCGAGGGCGGGCCGCGUUCCCAGAGCUGGGUGCGCCCGCGGCGCCCUGGCGAGCGACCCCAGGGGAGGCAAUGGGGGCCUUUCGAGCGCCUGAAAAGUUCGUGCUUCCGCAGGGGCACGGAAAGUGCUAGUAAAACGCUUGGCACAGCUUGAGAAGCGCAGCCAGGAGCUACAGUCUGAUUUUGUUUCUGUUGACCGAUAACAUAACCGUGAGUAGAGCCGAGGGCGAGAGCGAGGAAAGGGAUCAGAGGUCCACGGACAAAAUCAUGACCAUCCUAAAUAUUCAGUAAUUCCGUUUGUCAUCAACACAGGGAACGGUUAUACGGGAAAUGGGGAAGAUGGGGGGCGGGGAGGAGAUUUCACAUCCCUGAAGGAAGUUCUCGGGCUCCUAGAGACGCCCAAGUCUUUUUUUUUUUGCAUGACGAGUAGAGACCGGCUCUCGGGGGAGUUCCCCGAUCCGAGGGAGCGUGACCGCGGCCGCGAUCUUCCCGCCCGGAGCGGCCGCGGCGGGGCCCGGCCCUGCCCUCCCGGCCGCCUCCCUCCCCGGCCGCCCGGCGCGCCGCACAUCCCUCUCGCGCUCGCCGGCUCCAGACUGGUUUUUCUGGUUCAGCCUCCCUCCUAGGGACGCGCUGGGGGAUCCGAUGACGUCGCUGGCUGAGUCUCUCCCUCUUCCUCCCUCCCUCCCCCCGCCUCUCCCCGCGCCCGCCCUCGCCGCGCACUCCUCCUAGUAACUUCUGUUCGGGGAGGCGCUGCCAGGAAUAACCCGGUGCGUCCACAGCCCGGGAGGGGAGGCGGCCGCUGCGGCUCCCGCACGCACACUGCUGCGGCCCGGGCCUCGCGGCUCCCUCGCGAGCCCGGCGGCCCCUGCCCCGGGCCCAUCGCCGUACAGUGUCAGAAAAAUAAAUAGAGGAAAGAGGAGCCUGGGCAGGCGGUCGGGAUCUCUUCCCUCCCUCCGCGCCCGCCCUCCCUCUGUCCUUAAGGAAAUGCUACCAGACACCCCCCACCAGACACGCUCAGCCUUGGCGAGGAGCGGCCGCCGCGGCAGCGAGAACAAGGGCACCAGGGGGGUUUCCUCCCCCUCCUCCUCUCCCCACUCUUCCUCCUCCUCCUCCUCCUCCUUCUCAGCGGUGACUUUCCAGAUUGGUGAAUUUACCUGAGAAAUUGAGACUCAAGAGUAUGAGAAUGUGUGACUAGGACCGAAAGCAGAUUUUCAGGUAAUGAUGUGAAUGCUGCUUAAAUGAGGAUUGACUCUGAUAUUCCAUGGUUUCCUUCCUGGUGAGCUCGCUGGCUCGCCACCCUCCACACUCAUCAGCAGCUGGUGUUUCACCCAGUGGUACUGUGAUCUUCACCACCCGUUCACUUGCACAGAAAAAGAUGGCAUCGAUUUAUAUUUAAAAUAAAGUGAGUUUGAAAGGUUUUAUGAAAUCCCUUCACUUUUGGAUCAGUUUUUGCCAGCAGCUGCCUGCAUGUAGUUGUUGUUCUCGGUUGGUCGUGACUGGUUAGGAAAGAUUGCUGCUUUUUGGAAAUGGUUCCAAAGACUCAUUGUUCCAGACGUCGGACAUCCUCAUACUCUUUAGGUCUGACUUUUCAGGUGGUUGGUCUAAAACAGAUUAAUUACUAAACUCUCAGUGAAUAAUUAACCAUUUGACUUGUUCCCAAGUUAUAUACUCACUGGGCUAGAAAUGAUUUCCCAAACAACUGAAGAUAAGGGAAGGUUACUCCUGGUUUCACAAGGCCCCCAUUGUUGCUGGCUUGGGCGUACGUGUGAGAGAGAUCAGCUGAUACCUACGCACUGGUCCAGCUUCUCGGUCAAACCACUUCCUGGGGUUUUCUCGGGUAAUGGCAGUGAUUCAGAAGAUACCUCAGCAGUUUUAGAGGAUGGUUCCCUGUGUGUUAGUAUGGGCCUCAGUGACUGGGAGCUGUCAAAUUCAAAAGGAGCGUUUUUAUUGCAGUGCCAUGAAAUCUCUGAUUUGCUUUUGCUCGAAGUGGCAUUUCAGUGAGUGUUGGGUUGCUUGCCUGUGUGUUUUCAACAGUAUAUAUAUAUUUUUUUUAUUAAGGUUAUGAAAGUUAACAUCCUUGUGAAAUUACAGUUGUACAUCAUUAUUAGUCAUGUUGUAGGUACACCACUUCACCCCUAGUGCCCUACCCCCACCCCCCUUUCCCCUGGUAACCACCUAUCAGUUCUCUUUGUCCAUAUGUUAACUACCACCUAUGAGUGGAGUCAUACAGAGUUCGUCUUUCUCUGUCUGGCUUAUUUCACUCAACAUAAUACCCUCAAGGCAACAGUAUAUUUUUAAGACCAUUUAUUUUGUAGUAGUGGGCUGACAGCCUAAUUUCCAUCAAUUAAGCGAUCCAUGCCUUCACUGAGUCUCAACCGUGUACAAAGUCCUCUGUUAGGCCGUGGGGGACAGACAAAGGGCAGUCAUUUUUGUCUGCCUUCAAGAGGUAGUAGUAACUGGGGAGAUGAGAGAUCAAAUUGAAAGGGACCUAAUCAGGUGUUAAGGUAAACAUAUGCAGCUGUACUAAUUUAUAAAUACAUAUUUCUGUGAUUUUAGUUUCUGAAUCUAUUCACAGUGUAUGUUCCAUAAGGUAAAAUUUGUAUUUUUAUGAUUUUAUUUAUAAUAUAAAAACGUGGAUAGAAUUAUUUUUCUGAGGCUUUUGUUUUAUUUUCCUUAAGAGGAAAAUAAGAAUGAAAAUAAGAAAGUUAUUUUGGAAUCACAAGAUCUGUAUUCUUUCCUGGCCCUUCAGAAACUCCAAAAUUGCAUUUCUGGCCAUGGAGUAGACAAGAAACUUGGGGAUUUAAGACACUAGUUCUCUCUUUGGUUAUUCUGACACCUGACUUGUCUCUUCCUUCCACUACUUGCAAACCUUCUACCCUCUUUGCUGGAUGAUGCAAGUCUAACGAGAUAAUGUAUAUGGAAGCAUCUGUAAGCUGGGAGGUGUUAUGAAUAAGCAUGUAUUAUUAUUAUUAUCAUUGCUAUUUUUUUGUGUGUUCACUGCUUUGCAUUUUUCCACUGAACAUCCCAGUAAUUCACUUCUGCAAUGUCAGAGAUGAUUAUGACUUUCUCAUUGGGGAAGCUACUUUUUUCCUGCACUUAAGAAAAUUUGGUUCGCUGAUGGAAUGCCGUCUUAGGCAAAAUGUUGCUCUCACCGGUCCUGCUCUCCUGGUCCUGACCAAGAUUGUCGGGAAAGGAGGUGAUGGGGAGGUUUAUGAAGGGAGGAGAAUCCGUCUAUUUACAUUGUGUGUAACUGCGCGUCGCUUACUUUACAAAAACUGAUGCUUGGUUUUAUAAAUAACUUCAUUUUUAAAUGAGAGGCUGUUCUUGGUUGUGGCUAAGAGUACUGGCUCUGGAAGUAAAUUGCCGUGCUUCUUGUCCUGGUUCCCUCACUUCUAGCUGGGUGAAAAUUGGCAAGUGUUUAACCUCCCUGUGACUGUUUUCUAACCUGGGCAGGAAGGGUACCUUCAUGAUGUGGUCGGGCGGUUGUGAAGCUUAAAUGGAAUGAUGCCUCUAAAACCGUCUGCACUCGAAGUAGAUUAAAGAGGGAAAUGAAAGGCUAUGUGAGGGGGUGAACUGUACCAUCUCCCAUGCUGUUUUAGGUUCUAAUUAAUGGAAUUUGGUUGAGUUCGAUGAUGCAUCUCUUGCGAGGAGGAGAAAGAGAGCGGGGAGGCGCGGCGAGAGAGCGAAGGACAGGGUGGGCCGGGCUGUGGCCGCCCUUCGCAUCGACAGACUCACGUGCUCUGUGGUGCCUGGCAGUUUACGGAGUCCUUUUACAUACGUUUAUUUCAUUUAAUCCUCACAACCAGCCCUGUUUUACAGAUAGGGGAAACUUAUGGCUGAGACACUCAAUGACAGGCUUACAGACAAGUGGCCAGUGAGUGACACAGUGAGGUCAGAGAAGCUGACCUCCUGGACUUGGGCAGUAAUUUCCUUUCUCCCAAUACCCUGGUCCCUCACUGCUAUUUAAAAAUUCAUAUUCGUAAUAACCCUGGUGCUGAAUCCCAAAGGAGCAGAGUCAUGUGCUGCCUCAGACCUGAGGGUUGUUGGGGGGGUCCCGGGGAUCACCUGCGGCUGUUCAGGGCUGGCCUUGCUCCUGCUGCUGCUAGAAGGUUCUGCACGGCCCCUAUCUCUUUGAGGCCUGAGUGAAGAUUGGGUUUCGUCUCUGUGAAGGUCCGUUCCGAAUGUUCUGUGGGAGAAACUGUCAGUGUUUCCUUUUUCCUGGAAAGGAAGGUAAUGAGCUCCUCCUGAGUGGUUGAACACGUAGGAUACAAGAUUCAUAGUAGGAAUACGCUUUUAACUCUUUUUUGAGUCACUGUGUUGAUAAACUUGAAGUUAGUAAAAUUACUCAUGUAUGUAAUCUAAAUCUUAGUUUGUCUUAAGUGAGUCUUACGGUUGUAAUUCAAGUGUACGCUUUUAAAAUGCUGGUUGUUAUAUAAUAGAGUUUGCUCCCUUUGUUUGGUUCUGAGAUUCAACACAAUUUUAAGUUUGAUUUUCUCCUUAACCUGGGUGUCCUGUUUGCAUAUUAAAAAUCAAGUGAUCGGAGCUGGCCCAGUGGCACAUCAGUUAAGUUUGCAGGUUCCAAUUUGGUGGCCCGGGGCUCACCGAUUCAGAUCCCAGGUGUGGACCUACGCACCGCUUGUCAAGCCAUGCUGUGGCAGGCGUCCCACCCAUAAAGUAGAGGAAGAUGAGCAGGAUGUUAGCUCAGGGCCAGUCUUCCUCAGCAAAAAGAGGAGGAUUGGUGGCAGAUGUUAGCUCAGGGCUAAUCUUCCUUCAAAAAAAAAAAAAAAUCAAGUGAUCAGAAAAAAUUCAGUGUACUGCUUCAGAUUUUAAAAAUAUUGAGAACAAAUUUUAAAAUUAGAAGAAAUAUUUCAUGCAUGUUAAUGAGGAAAGAUUGAAUUUAGUAUUACAUUGGAAUAUAUUAUUUUUAUGAAAUCAUUUUCUACUCUGAAUGAGAAAUUUGUAUCUAGUUGGUACAAUAUAUGUUCAUCAAAUUUUUUAUGCAUUAAAUUUUUGAUUAGCUGUAAUGUAACUUUUUUGUCUACGUGCAUUUCAUUUUUCAGCGAAGUGGUGGGUAACAGUGACUUAGUUUUUGAAGCUACAUCUAGGCCAGGAUUUCUCAACCUUGGUGCUAUUGACACUUGAGUCUGGACAGCUCUUUGUUGUGGGGGGCUGUGUGCGUGUUGUAGGGGUUCAGCCGCAUCCCUGGCUGCCACCCAGCAGACACCAGUAGUGUCUGCUUGUCUCAGUCUUGACAAUCAAAAUUGUCUCCAGACGUCGCCAGAUGUCCCUGAGGGAGCAAAAUCAUCCCUAGGUGAGAACCAUUGAUCUGUGACUUUCAAUAUAUUUUCAGAUCUUCUACCUGACCUAAAUCUAUAUUAUGCUAUAAUUUUGAAUAGAUGUUCAGCAUCACACCAAAAAAGGAGAAAGUACUAUAUUUAUAGAGGCAAUAAAUUAUGCUUAACAUUUAUGAAAAAGAUUUUUCUACAAUAUGGGUUGAGAUGUUUUCUGAUGAGCUGUCAGUUACCAUAACAAAUACAAUUCCCCGGAAUUCCAAACAUUUGGAGGAAUAUUUUAUGUCCUUAUUUCCUUUCAAAAUAGAUAUAGCCCCUUGAUUUUGAAUUAAUUUAUAACAAUGACUUGAUAGUGUUUCUUUUUUUAACUUCAAAUAAAUGUAAAUAAUAGUAUGGUUUACCAUAUAGUAAAUAUUCUCUGUGAUUAGAACGUUCUAUACGUUCCUCAUGCACAUACUUAAAGAUUUAAUUGCCUUCGCAGAUGGGCAUGUGCCUCUGUGAAACAGUUGUGCAGGAGUUGCUGAAAUUGGGUUUCAGAAGUCUCUUCAUGGACUUUUUAGUGGAGGUUUUAGUGUAAGGAGGCAAAUAGAGACACCUGGUUAUUAACUGCUGUAGGAAUAUAGGCGUUUCUCUUGGCCCAGGAAUUAAGUGACUGCUUUUUAAAAUGUCUUUUGCUACCAAUAGAAUGUACUUUUACUCCUGUGAACCAUGGGCUGAAGCAUUAGCCAAUCAGAGGAAGGAAUUUACUGUAUGGUAAAAGGAAGUAUUUGUUCUGUUAUUGUAGUACAUGGCCUGGUGCCAUCUUUGAUAAAGGAUUGAAGUGCCGUGCACCCAAAGUCUGCUAGCCUCUUGACCCUUCAUCAGUCAUCAGCCAGCCUGUGGGUUAAGUGAACCUCAGUAGCUCAGCAGGACAGCUAUUGUUUAAGCAUUGUGCAACUCUUGGAAACGGAAAUUUCUGACACUGCAGUCUUACAAUGUGAUGUCUUUCUAGUUUUAAGAUUAUACACAUAUGUUUCCUUUCUGCUGCUAAUCUGUGCCAGAUUAGAGGUAUAAAAUGAUAAUAUAUAAGACUUGAACCUGGGUUAUUCAGAUGGGUGGCCCUGAGACUUAUUUUUAAAAUAAGAACAUAUACAAAAAUAAAUGACCUAUUAUAGCACACAAUUUCAAGAAUUUCACAUGGGAUCCUACUGGAAUUUUUAUUGUCUUAAGACCUUCCAACUCUUGCAUGCUUCUCCUCCACUAUUAAUGUGUUGAUUACUGAAAGCAACUAUUUCUCCACGUUUUCUAAGUAACUGAUGGCACACACAGAUUCUUUCAUCACAUAUAUUUCUUUUCUGACUAGCUCAGGAAAACUUUCUAAGAGCUGUGUCCAGUAUUCACAGUUUUAUGUCAUCUAAUCUCUAUAUGUAUGCCACAUUCUUCAAGUACAGUAAUGUGUCAGCUGCAGCUGUCGCUGACCAAAGCUGUCACAGAAGCGGGUGGAGGGAGCGUCAGAGAUGGUGUGUGUGGGUUCUGUGUAUCAAGAGCAUAUCUGUUGCAAUCAAUCUGUGAUGAUAACAACUGGCUUGUAGAAGGUGGUUCAAGCCAGAUAUUUAUUUUAUCUUUGACCAAAUGUACAGGAGAUUGGCUGCCAUAGUGGAUAAAUGCCACUGAUAGUUAAUAAAAACUGGUUGAGUAUAUAUGAUGGCCUGACUUGUACAGUAAGAAAGACACAUUAAUGCAUAGGGUUCAUUAGUUUUGGCUGUAAAGUUGUUAACAAAGCUUGAUUCUUAAUAGCAUGCGAAUUUUAAAAAAAGACAAUUGAAAAUACAUACUAGUAAAAGAAUAAAAUGUUUGUUUUCUGAUGUAAGCAGGCGAUCAUGUUUUCUAAUUAAGUGUAUUUUGAUUAAAGUAAAUUUUUACACCAGGGCCCAUCUCCAGUUGUUUGUUAGAGGAAUAUUAACACCACACUUCCCAGAGCCGGUUAGAAGUAUUGGAGUCAGUCUAUCCCCACCUAAGACUCCUCAUAACCCACUGGCUCCGUCUUUCCCCAUCUUCCAUCUUUCCUCAUUCUCCAGUUUACCGUGGGGCAGAGAGGAGAAGUAACAAUUUCCAUCAAAAAAUUGUAGUUUGAUUUUUAUCUUCUUGUUCACCUUUUAUAAAGACAGUUCAAGGGAAAGGUGAAUUAUUUUUAGCAGUUAGGGAGAGGUAAUUAGCCGCCUUGGGUGGAGUCUUCUUGCACUUGAACCCUGUUGGCAAAAAUGAAAUCCUGCUACGGUUAAAGCAGUUAAGGGAGAAGCUCACCUUAAAGAUGAAAAGAAAGCCUGUUGCACAGCUCGACGCAUAAGUCCUGCCAGUAAUUCUGUGUUAUCAUUGACGUCAAAAUACAUAUUGCUUUGGUGAUUGUCCACGUCUUUUCUAAGUGUCUGAUGGCAUAUUUGAAUUCGUAAGGCUGCACAUGCCUCACGAAGAGAACCUCCCAGACUAAGAACGUGUGUUCUGGAGACUUAAAAUUAAAGCUAAGCACUUCGAUAUGGAUACACAUACAUAGGACAGGGAUAAUAAAGCAGUUAGCUCUUGCCUAAUUCCACAAGAAAGCUUCACAGCAGAGAUGGAAUUUCAGGAACUGUUUAUCGCUAGAAAUAUCUAUGUGGCUGGGGGUUGAGGAAAGGAAGCGUGUGGCAAUGAUUGUGCUCAGUGAUUUACUAAUAGCUGAUGUUUUCUGAGUACUUACUGUGUGCCAACCAGGAGUGCUCUAUGUGUAUUAACUUAGUUCUCCAACAAGCUGUUGAAGCAAUUGUUAUUAUCUCCAUUUUGUAGGUGAGGAAACUGAGGCAUGAGGAGAAUAAAUAACUUGUCUAAGGUUCUACAUGUGGUAAGAGGUGGAGUAUGCCUUUCAACCAGUGUACCAUACUGUCUGUCUUAUGUAAUUUCCAUCACAGCCCUGCAAAGUAACUAUUUUCCUCACUUUACGAAUAAAGAUGUUGAAGCCCAGAGAGGUUAACUUUGUCAAGAUCAUAGGUGGCCAAUGGCAGAGGAAGGUUUUGAACCAAAGGUCUGACUCUCUCAAAAGUCUGUGCUUUUUGAUUGCAAGAGGAGGCCUGCUGGGUAAGGCCCAGAGGCAUAACUGACAUAGAAAAAUGUGGGAGGUCCAGCUCCUUCCUUGUAAAGACAGUUACGGUCGUAAAGAAGCCGGUGUAGGUUGUUCAUAAUUCGUGGUAAGGCAGUAGAGCAGUUGUGUACUGAAGCAUGCAAAACUCCUUCUGGUUCAGCUCUAUCUUAUAGGAAUCGUCUGUCUCUGUCAUCAUCCUGGGUUGUGCUUCAUUUCCUUUGGUGUGCCUAUUUUCAAGUACUAGGCUGUUCUAUUCCUGUUUAUAAAUCUUUUAAGUGUGCAAUUAAAGAAGUAAUUAAAUUGUCACUAUAAUUUACAGUAUGCCUGAAGUCAGUCACCUAAUUAAACUGCAAGUGAAGAGAGGUGGUAGGUUCACAUGCACUUAUCAUUAUUACUGUAUUGUAGGUUCAUAUGCAUUUAUGUAUUACUGUAUUAAUUAUGCAAGGAUUUUGAACCAAGUCAAAGAGAAAGCUAAUGGUAACACUAGUCUUUAAAAGUUUUUCCAUUUCUGCUCUUCUCAGUUUAAAAAUUUGAGACCUUCACUAGUUAGUAGCAUAACCCUAAUAUCUUUUUUGGUUAAUUUUUAAUGAAAUUAGGAUUUUUAUGUCUUUCACUCAGCAUUUUCUUAUAAUGCUCCUUACAGCAUUAAUGGGUACCAUCCCACAUCCUAAUUGAAUAAGCAAUUAGAAAUAUAAUAGAAAACAAGAUUUGAAUUCAUGGGUUAUAUAUAGCAGUUCAAAUUCUAUCUUGAAUUAUAAAAAUGGCAGCAUAUGAGAUACCUGGAAUUAUUCAGAGAUUUGGUUUUCCUAGAGCAACAGUGACUGUCAAGAUACUUAUUUUCUUACUGGGGAAUAAAAAUCUACAACAAAAACACCAAAACCCCAAUAAGCUAUUAUGAAAUUCCUGCUGGAGGAAACUACUUUUGAAGAGUCUAUUUCUCACUUCUAAGCUCUAACACAUAUAUAUGUGUAUUUAUUACUUGAGGUGACAAUUGAUAACUUGCAUUUGUGUUUCAGCCCCUAGGGAGGUAAUUGCAGUUUGUAAUGGAAUUGGCUGAAUUUGUUCUUUUGGGAUUUGGGCCUUCAGGGAAAGGAGACUAUAGAGGGACACCAUCAGGUGUCAUCCGUGUGAGUGACAGGUUGUGUGCAGUGAAUUUUCCUCUAC
This 9977-nucleotide long non-coding RNA is filed under the name Equus asinus (donkey). RNAcentral describes it as "lncRNA (ENSEASG00005031392.1)". The record is from RNAcentral. Lineage: Eukaryota; Metazoa; Chordata; Mammalia; Perissodactyla; Equidae.